This 399-nucleotide ribosomal RNA is filed under the name uncultured bacterium. Its description in RNAcentral is "partial 16S ribosomal RNA". It matches the Rfam family "Bacterial small subunit ribosomal RNA", at positions 360 to 773 of the family's 1533-position model. The record is from RNAcentral.
AAUAUUGCGCAAUGGGGGAAACCCUGACGCAGCGACGCCGCGUGAACGAUGAAGGCCUUCGGGUCGUAAAGUUCUGUCCUCAGGGAAGAAUAAAUUGACGGUACCUGAGGAGGAAGCCCCGGCUAACUACGUGCCAGCAGCCGCGGUAAUACGUAGGGGGCAAGCGUUGUCCGGAAUUAUUGGGCGUAAAGGGUGCGUAGGCGGCCUUUUAAGUCAGGUGUGAAAGCCCACGGCUUAACCGUGGGAUUGCAUUUGAAACUGGAAGGCUUGAGUAUCGGAGAGGGUAGUGGAAUUCCCAGUGUAGCGGUGGAAUGCGUAGAUAUUGGGAGGAACACCAGUGGCGAAGGCGACUACCUGGACGAAAACUGACGCUGAGGCACGAAAGCUAGGGGAGCAAAC